AUGGAUGAGGAGUACUACAUGUUUCGCGACCAAGGAUCCGAUAAUGACACAAUUGAGGAUGACGAGGAAACGAGCAUGUCGUCUGCUAUACCUAGCGAGGUUGAUCCAUUAGACUUUGUCUACACAAACAUCCCAGACACCACUCACAUCCUGAAGCUCGACGCAAAUUGCAAACACUGCAAGGCCAAAAAGUUUGUGUCUGAGACUGACGGGUUCUGCUGUCGCAAUGGCUAG
This 234-nucleotide ribosomal RNA is filed under the name Triticum aestivum (bread wheat). Its description in RNAcentral is "partial small subunit ribosomal RNA". Lineage: Eukaryota; Viridiplantae; Streptophyta; Magnoliopsida; Poales; Poaceae. The record is from RNAcentral.